This 263-nucleotide signal recognition particle RNA is filed under the name uncultured Cellulosilyticum sp. RNAcentral's name for it is "Bacterial large signal recognition particle RNA". It matches the Rfam family "Bacterial large signal recognition particle RNA". From Rfam's summary of the family: The signal recognition particle (SRP) is a universally conserved ribonucleoprotein involved in the co-translational targeting of proteins to membranes. Archaeal SRP consists of a 7S RNA and homologues of the eukaryotic SRP19 and SRP54 proteins. Lineage: Bacteria; Bacillati; Bacillota; Clostridia; Lachnospirales; Cellulosilyticaceae. The record is from RNAcentral.
CCGUGCUAGCCGGGGAGGCAGCGGUGCCCUGCACUUGCAAUCCGCUAUAGCAAGGGUGAUGCUUCGUCUGAGGCAUUAAAUUGUAUGGUCUGCCUUUAGUAAGUGGCGAUGAGAAUUGGGUCUUACGCAAUAGGCACUUGUGAACCGUGUCAGGUCCGGAAGGAAGCAGCACUAAGCAAGCCCGUCUAUGUGCCGUGAGGGUGCCUAGUUUGAGUUUACUGCUAGAGUAACGCGUGUAAUUUAUUGUCGAAGCGAAGUGCACG